UGAUCUGCCCGUAGCCACAAGAGGGACA
This 28-nucleotide small RNA is filed under the name Bombyx mori (domestic silkworm). Its description in RNAcentral is "ovarian small RNA-32743". Lineage: Eukaryota; Metazoa; Arthropoda; Insecta; Lepidoptera; Bombycidae. The record is from RNAcentral.